RNAcentral lists this non-coding RNA (59 nucleotides) under Paraburkholderia caribensis. RNAcentral describes it as "Betaproteobacteria_toxic_sRNA". It matches the Rfam family "Betaproteobacteria toxic small RNA". From Rfam's summary of the family: Overexpression in amino aid rich medium attenuates growth, suggesting role in repressing amino acid intake and metabolism. The record is from RNAcentral. Lineage: Bacteria; Pseudomonadati; Pseudomonadota; Betaproteobacteria; Burkholderiales; Burkholderiaceae.
CGUCUCCUCCAUGUCUCCUCCUGAUAUGGAUUCAGCCCGCCUACAGCGGGCUUUCUUUU